UUUAUUAAGUAGCUUUAAAUUUAUUAUUUUAGAUCGGAUCGGAUUUUUAUUAGAAAAAUAUAUUAUUGUUGUUCGGAUUGGGUUUUUGUUAGAAAAUAUAUAUUUUAAAUUGACGAUCGAAUUAGUUCAUUGUAUUCAUAUCGGGUCAAGAAGUGUAGCAGUAAAAAAUCAUCAAAAUCGGAGUUAAAAUAACCAUUAAAUCGUGAU
This 207-nucleotide long non-coding RNA is filed under the name Prunus persica (peach). Its description in RNAcentral is "long non-coding RNA (PPER_LNC008123)". Lineage: Eukaryota; Viridiplantae; Streptophyta; Magnoliopsida; Rosales; Rosaceae. The record is from RNAcentral.